This 1439-nucleotide long non-coding RNA is filed under the name Sus scrofa (pig). RNAcentral describes it as "lncRNA (ENSSSCG00070030115.1)". The record is from RNAcentral. Lineage: Eukaryota; Metazoa; Chordata; Mammalia; Artiodactyla; Suidae.
GUGACGUGUCCGAAGCUACAGAGCAGGUCUGUCGACACUUCCUGCCGGCCCACUGGAAAAGCUGCUGCCGCCAGUGCUUCACGGCUCCCACAGAGCUGGCGUGACAUUGCCGCGACACUCGGCGAGCAUGCCGGAGUUCCUGAGCCCGGGAUCAUGCCCAUGUCGUAGCAGGGACCUGAGCUACAGCAGUGACAAUGCUGAGCCACCGGGGAACUUCCUGCAGGAAACCUUUUAUACAAACCAAAAUCAUUAAAGGACGGGGCUCAUCGCUAGAGAAAUUGCAAAGAAACAACAUAGAAAACAAGCUGUUAUGGAGGCCAGAGCUGACAGGAGGGGAACAGCCUGUGCAAAGGUGUGGAGUGAGAGUGAGGCCGUGGGGUGAGCCCAGCACUGAGCACCUAGGAUCCUUCAGGCCGAUGCAAUAGGAGACCAAGAGGUGAAGGUUCCUUCUCCAGAGACAGAGACCUGGGGGGAUCCUGACCCAGAAACACCCAAGCAGCCGACCCCACCCCCACCCGCCACUGCAGGACAGAAGGAUGAAGCGUCCUCUCUGGAGUAAUGGGUCUCCACACUCGCCCCUAAAACCGGACUUGCUACCAGAUCACCACAAUGAAGCUUCCAGUCAACUAGUUCCACCCCCCUACCCCAUCCUGAAGUCAGGCACCCAGCUUCCCAUCGGGUUGUUGCCUGUAAGGGUCACCAGGAAAAAACAGGGACCAAAAAUCAAGAAACACCUGGAGGAGUUCCCGUCGUGGCGCAGUGGUUAACGAAUCCGACUAGGAACCAUGAGGUUGCGGGUUCGGUCCCUGCCCUUGCUCAGUGGGUUAACAAUCCGGCGUUGCCGUGAGCUGUGGUGUAGGUUGCAGACGCGGCUCGGAUCUCGCAUUGCUGUGGCUCUGGCGUAGGCCAGUGGCUACAGCUCUGAUUCAAUCCCUAGCCUGGGAACCUCCAUAUGCCGCGGGAGCGGCCCAAGAAAUAGCAAAAAGACAAAAAAAAAAAAAAAAAAAAAAAAAGAAACACCUGGAGGAAACAGAUAAUGCAGCAGCAGAGCAAAACUGAAACAACAAACCAGCAAGAGAAGCAAAAUGAAACUUUUUGGGGUUUUUUUGCUUUUUUUUUUUUUUUUUUGCUUUUUAGGGCCACACCUGUGGCAUCUGGAGGUUCCCAGGCCAGGGGUCAAAUAGGAGCUGUAGCUGCCAGCCACAGCCACAGCCACAGCCACGCUCACUUAACCCACUGAGCGAGGCCAGGGAUCCAACCUGCGUCCUCAUGGAUGCUAAUCAGAUUCAUUAACACUGAGCCAUGAUGGGAACUCCCUGAGGUGAAACUCUAAGCAGAAAGUUUGAAAGGUAACAUGAAGGAAAUCUCUCAGAACUAGGCAAAAAGGGAGAAUAGGAAAAAAAAAUAAAGAAACGAGAAAACUGGAAGAUCGAUCCCGG